Molecule: long non-coding RNA, 1820 nt
Filed under: Lactuca sativa (garden lettuce)
Lineage: Eukaryota; Viridiplantae; Streptophyta; Magnoliopsida; Asterales; Asteraceae
Description: long non-coding RNA (LSAT_LNC003420)
Source: RNAcentral
GUUUUGCUAGAAAGAGAUGAACUUUGUUGUUAGGUUUUCUUGAAUAGACAUGAAUAAAUAGACAUGAAUAAAGGUUUUUUUGAACGGUUUCAGACAUGUAAGUCAUUUUCCUUACAAAUUAGAAAGUAACUCCUUAGGCCUCCAACUUGUGCUGGGUGAGCUCCAACAGAACUCCUUGAUUUCAGAGAAAUGGCCGGAGAAGGGAAGGUAGUCUGUGUUACAGGAGCUUCGGGAUUCAUAGCUUCAUGGCUCGUUAAGCUCUUGCUUCAGCGUCGCUAUACCGUUCAUGCUACCGUCCGCUCCCUCGGUCAGCCUCUCCGGCCUUCUUUCCAAUUUUGACUUUUCAUCUCUGAGUUCGAUUCAAUAUCAGUAAUAGGUUGAUUAUGUAAGUAAUUAAUCACAGAUUGUUCAUCAAUAACAAAAUAUGCUGCAAAAGAAAAACUGACCUGGUUGACUUUUUUUCAUCCUCAGAGAUUUGUUUUUGUUUUCCUCUAAUCGCUACCAGUUCCUUUAAUUCAUAUAUGGUGCAGAUGAUCCAAAGAAGACACAACACCUACUUUCCCUUGAUGGAGCUAAGGAAAGGCUAUCUUUGUUUGAAGCUAACUUGACUGAAGAAGGAUCUUUCGAGUCCGCAGUUAAUGGCUGCGAAUGUGUCUUUCAUAUGGCAUCUCCUGUUAUACCUUCAGUUUCAGUUUCUGAUCCAAAAGCAAAACUCAUAGAUCCUGCAGUGAAGGGAACACUUAAUGUUCUCAAAUCAGCUGCAAAAGUUUCAUCUCUCAAAAGAGUGGUUUUGACAUCUUCCAUGAGUGCGGUUAUGUUUCGUGUAGAACCUCGGGAGUUUGGUGCUGUGGUGGAUGAAACAUGGUUUUCAGAUCCAAAAACUUGUGAACAGAAAAAGGUAUGUAUAUAGAUAAUUGUGUUAAAACUUUGAUUUUGUUAUUAAUUAAUCAAAAAGCUUGUAAUUUACAGUUAUGGUAUCCGCUUUCGAAGACCCUGGGUGAGGAUGCUGGUGUGACAUUUUGUAAAGAGAAAGGUUUGGAUUUGGUGGUUGUAAAUCCUGGGUUUGUCAUUGGUCCUAUAUUACAGCCAACUCUCAACACCACUUCUGAGUGGGUUAUGGGAUUGAUUGCAACUGGUAAUUGUCUCCUACAACUAAAAAUCGAUUCAUCGGAUCUGUAUAAUUAAUUUAUUGAACAUAUUGCAUGCUCAAAUCUUUAUAAUAUGUAGGAAAGGAAAUAUUUCCAGAUGGAAUUUAUAGACUUGUUGAUGUGAGAGAUGUUGUUAAUGCUCAUAUUUUAGCAUUUGAGAACCCUGAAGCGAAUGGUAGAUACUGUGUAGUUGGGGUUGUGACUCGCUCUUCUGAGAUCAUGAAGAUUUUAAAUAAACAUUACCCUGUUCUUGGUCAUUCUGAAAGGUAAGUAUCUAGUUAAUCGCAUGAAUAUACAUAUAAACAAUCUAUUUAGGGCCAAUUAUUGUGUUUUUUUAUUUAAAUUUUCAUAGGUAUAAAGAAGGAAAUGGUGGUGAGCCUGUACCUUAUACUGUAUCAAGGGCAAAAGCGGAAAUUUUAGGCGUUGAAUUUACUCCGUUGGAGGUAAGCAUUAAGGACACUGUUGAAAGCCUGAAAGAGAAGAACUUUCUGAGCUUCUAAAACAUACGAUGAUGUUCAUGAAGACAAUGGCUUGGAUUUUUUAUAAACGAAAGCCGUAGGGUGUGCACCCUAAUUUUGUAAAGAAUAUGUGACAAAAUUGACACGUCACGUUAAUUAUUGAGUAAAAUUGUACUAUUAUGAUUGAAUAGUUAUUUGGUAUAUUAGGUGUGAG